This 32-nucleotide non-coding RNA is filed under the name Mus musculus (house mouse). Lineage: Eukaryota; Metazoa; Chordata; Mammalia; Rodentia; Muridae. The record is from RNAcentral.
UUAAAUGGAUCCAACAGUAAAGAUUUGCUAUC